AGGAUCAUUACCGAACUGUCGACAUGAGCUGUUGCUGGCCCUCNAAAGGGGGCAUGUGCACGCUCUGUUUACACAUCCACUCACACCUGUGCACCCUCUGUAGUUCUAUGGCCUUGGGGACCCCGUCCCCUUGCUGUGGUCCUACAUNUUUACACACACACCGUAACAAAGUCUCAUGGAAUGUAUGUCNCGUUUAACGCAAUACAAUACAACUUUCAGCAACGGAUCUCUUGGCUCUCGCAUCGAUGAAGAACGCAGCGAAAUGCGAUAAGUAAUGUGAAUUGCAGAAUUCANUGAAUCAUCGAAUCUUUGAACGCACCUUGCGCCCUUUGGCUAUUCCGAAGGGCAUGCCUGUUUGAGUAUCAUGAACACCUCAACUCUCAUGGUCUGCCAUGAUGAGCUUGGACUUUGGGGGUCUUGCCNGNNUAGUGUCGGCUCCUCUCAAAUGGAUCAGCUUCCCAGUGUUUGGUGGCGUCACAGGUGUGAUAACUAUCUACGCUUGUGGUUUUCUGCCAUUAACCUUCAGCAAUGGAGGUUCGCUGGAGCUCACANAUGUCUUUCCUUGGGGAGGACAGCUUCUUGAA
Molecule: ribosomal RNA, 584 nt
Filed under: Tomentella sp. src821
Lineage: Eukaryota; Fungi; Basidiomycota; Agaricomycetes; Thelephorales; Thelephoraceae
Description: eukaryotic LSU rRNA
Rfam family: 5.8S ribosomal RNA (bases 211-365)
Source: RNAcentral